UACGAAGGGGGCUAGCGUUGCUCGGAAUCACUGUGCGUAAAGGGUGCGUAGGCGGGUAUUUAAGUCAGGGGGGAAAUCCUGGAGCUCAACUCCAGAACUGCCUUUGAUACUGAAGAUCUUGAGUUCGGGAGAGGUGAGUGGAACUGCGAGUGUAGAGGUGAAAUUCGUAGAUAUUCGCAAGAACACCAGUGGCGAAGGCGGCUCACUGGCCCGAUACUGACGCUGAGGCACGAAAGCGUGGGGAGCAAACAGG
Molecule: ribosomal RNA, 253 nt
Filed under: uncultured bacterium
Lineage: Bacteria
Description: partial 16S ribosomal RNA
Rfam family: Bacterial small subunit ribosomal RNA
Source: RNAcentral